This 348-nucleotide ribosomal RNA is filed under the name uncultured bacterium. RNAcentral's name for it is "bacterial SSU rRNA". It matches the Rfam family "Bacterial small subunit ribosomal RNA", at positions 8 to 353 of the family's 1533-position model. The record is from RNAcentral.
AGAGUUUGAUCAUGGCUCAGGACGAACGCUGGCGGCGCGCCUAACACAUGCAAGUCGAACGAGAGAGAGGGAGCUUGCUUCCUUGAUCGAGUGGCGAACGGGUGAGUAACGCGUAUCCAACCUGCCCACCACUUGGGGAUAACCUUGCGAAAGUAAGACUAAUACCCAAUGAUAUCUCUAGAAGACAUCUGAAAGAGAUUAAAGAUUUAUCGGUGAUGGAUGGGGAUGCGUCUGAUUAGCUUGUUGGCGGGGUAACGGCCCACCAAGGCAACGAUCAGUAGGGGUUCUGAGAGGAAGGUCCCCCACAUUGGAACUGAGACACGGUCCAAACUCCUACGGGAGGCAGCA